GAUGAACGCUGGCGGCGUGCCUAAUACAUGCAAGUCGAGCGAACAGACGAGGAUCUUGCUCCUCUGACGUUAGCGGCGGACGGGUGAGUAACACGUGGAUAACCUACCUAUAAGACUGGGAUAACUUCGGGAAACCGGAGCUAAUACCGGAUAAUAUAUUGACCCGCAUGGUUCAAUAGUGAAAGACGGUUUUGCUGUCACUUAUAGAUGGAUCCGCGCCGCAUUAGCUAGUUGGUAAGGUAACGGCUUACCAAGGCAACGAUGCGUAGCCGACCUGAGCGGGUGAUCGGCCACACUGGAACUGAGACACGGUCCAGACUCCUACGGGAGGCAGCAGUAGGGAAUCUUCCGCAAAGGGCGAAAGCCUGACGGAGCAACGCAGCGUGAGUGAUGAAGGUCUUCGGAUCGUAAAACUCUGUUAUUAGGGAAGAACAAAUGUGUAAGUAACUAUGCACGUCUUGACGGUACCUAAUCAGAAAGCCACGGCUAACUACGUG
This 497-nucleotide ribosomal RNA is filed under the name uncultured bacterium. RNAcentral describes it as "partial 16S ribosomal RNA". It matches the Rfam family "Bacterial small subunit ribosomal RNA", at positions 28 to 507 of the family's 1533-position model. The record is from RNAcentral.